This is a non-coding RNA of Rhodoferax antarcticus ANT.BR, 389 nucleotides long. It matches the Rfam family "transfer-messenger RNA". Rfam says of the family: Bacterial tmRNA, also known as 10Sa RNA or SsrA, is named for its dual tRNA and mRNA-like properties. Its role is to liberate the mRNA from a stalled ribosome. Lineage: Bacteria; Pseudomonadati; Pseudomonadota; Betaproteobacteria; Burkholderiales; Comamonadaceae. The record is from Rfam.
GGGGCUGCACUGGUUUCGACGUGGAUUCGGACGCGUAGCAGGGCAUGUCGAGCUGAAUGUGCUCGUAAAACUGAUUCAAAAAAACUAACUGCAAACGACGAACGUUUCGCACUCGCUGCUUAAUUGCUAGUGAGCCUCACAACAGCAAGCCGAUAGGCUGGGCAAGGGUGGUCAGAUCGAAAGAUCGGGCUAUCCAGGCUGUGGGGUAAUUUCAUUCGGCUGGGCCUGCCUUGGGUAACUUAGGGCAGGUCAAGAAAAUAGGUUGCUGGCGAUUUGCAUAGCGUGCCACUGCGCGAUGUGAAAAGCGAGAUCCAAAUCAGACGGCUACACAUGUAGAACUGUUCGAAGAAGGUUUGCGGACGGGGGUUCAAAUCCCCCCAGCUCCACCA